Non-coding RNA from Pelobates cultripes (western spadefoot toad), 377 nucleotides. Lineage: Eukaryota; Metazoa; Chordata; Amphibia; Anura; Pelobatidae. The record is from the annotation of a GenBank genome assembly.
GUUUAGAAAGAAAACAAUGUAGCUGUUGUCAGAAAAUACAAACUGCACUUUAUGGAUAAUAAACUUUUACACAAAGGUUCACUAAGCAUUGUAAAUAACCAUACUGCUACUGAAAUCAGCUACACUUGUUAGCCAGUUUAAUAUUGAUAUUUAUGAUCACUUGUCACAGGAAGACUUCCAGGUUUAACUGAGCACAGCCAAUGGAUUUAUUUUUCUAGCUUAAAUACUAAGAAAUCAUGAUGCCAUGAAAAUAUCAGGCGUACAUUUGUGAAUUAUAGCUACAAACAGAGGCAUUCCAUCACUGUUCCAAGCUAAAAGCGGUCAAAUAUAUAGAAAUAAUGCAUACUCACUCUUGUCCUUGUACAGAAUUAAGAAAG